RNAcentral lists this ribosomal RNA (98 nucleotides) under Photobacterium phosphoreum. RNAcentral describes it as "partial 23S ribosomal RNA". The stretch from base 1 to 80 matches the Rfam family "Bacterial large subunit ribosomal RNA", at positions 2846 to 2925 of the family's 2925-position model. RNAcentral also lists the same sequence under 3 other names. Lineage: Bacteria; Pseudomonadati; Pseudomonadota; Gammaproteobacteria; Vibrionales; Vibrionaceae. The record is from RNAcentral.
UACAACGUUGAUAGGUCAGGUGUGUAAGUGCUGCGAGGCAUUGAGCUAACUGAUACUAAUUGCCCGUGAGGCUUAACCAUACAACACCCAAGGGGUUU